This 28-nucleotide non-coding RNA is filed under the name Mus musculus (house mouse). Lineage: Eukaryota; Metazoa; Chordata; Mammalia; Rodentia; Muridae. The record is from RNAcentral.
UGGUCUUCAUUAUGUGCCUUAGACAUAU